AUUGAACGCUGGCGGCAGGCCUAACACAUGCAAGUCGAACGAGUGGCGGACGGGUGAGUAAUGUCUGGGCAACUGCCUGAUGGAGGGGGAUAACUACUGGAAAAGGUAGCUAAUACCGCAUACCAUCAGAUGUGCCCAGAUGGGAUUAGCUAGUUGGUGGGGUAACGGCUCACCAAGGCGACGAUCCCUAGCUGGGCUGAGAGGAUGACCGGCCACACUGGAACUGAGACACGGUCCAGACUCCUACGGGAGGCAGCAGUGGGGAAUAUUGGGCAAUGGGCGCAAGCCUGAUGCAGCCAUGCCGCGUGAAUGAAGAAGGCCUUCGGGUCGUAAAGUUCUUUCAGCGGAGAGGCGUUACCCGCAGAAGAAGCACCGGCUAACUCCGUGCCAGCAGCCGCGGUAAUUC
This 406-nucleotide ribosomal RNA is filed under the name uncultured bacterium. RNAcentral describes it as "partial 16S ribosomal RNA". It matches the Rfam family "Bacterial small subunit ribosomal RNA", at positions 30 to 526 of the family's 1533-position model. The record is from RNAcentral.